This 402-nucleotide ribosomal RNA is filed under the name uncultured bacterium. Its description in RNAcentral is "bacterial SSU rRNA". It matches the Rfam family "Bacterial small subunit ribosomal RNA", at positions 355 to 774 of the family's 1533-position model. The record is from RNAcentral.
UCGGGAAUUUUGCGCAAUGGACGAAAGUCUGACGCAGCAACGCCGCGUGAGGGAUGAAGGCCUUCGGGUUGUAAACCUCUUUUAUCAGGGAAGAUAAUGACGGUACCUGAUGAAUAAGUCACGGCUAACUACGUGCCAGCAGCCGCGGUAAUACGUAGGUGACAAGCGUUGUCCGGAUUUACUGGGCGUAAAGAGCGCGCAGGCGGUCGAUCAAGUCGAGUGUGAAAGCCCCCGGCUCAACUGGGGAGGGUCAUUCGAUACUGAUCGACUCGAAGGCAGGAGAGGGUAGUGGAAUUCCCGGUGUAGUGGUGAAAUGCGUAGAUAUCGGGAGGAACACCAGUGGCGAAGGCGACUACCUGGCCUGUUCUUGACGCUGAGGCGCGAAAGCUAGGGGAGCAAACG